Molecule: long non-coding RNA, 448 nt
Organism: Motacilla alba alba
Lineage: Eukaryota; Metazoa; Chordata; Aves; Passeriformes; Motacillidae
Exons: 4
Source: RefSeq, a predicted model, not a curated record
GUUCAAGGCAGGCUGCAAGCAUCACCAUUCGUGGAUUUGUCGGGGUUUCUGUUCUCUCCCGGUUCACUGUGGACAUGACAUGGAUGCUGCCUCUUCACCUCAUAUGCCAUCAUCUUCUAGUAUCCAUGACUGAGGAGAAGCAUGAGAAGCUUCUUUCUGCCUGGGAGCUGCCCAGAUGAGACACAAACCAACAGAAAAUAGCACAUCUCAGAUUUUGACAACUGCAUUCAAAUUUGAAGAACCUUAAAAUGGUAGAAGAUGGCCAUUGAGGAGAGUUGAUAAUGGUAAGUGGUACUUGAGUUUUAAAUCUAGUUAGAGAUACUGUAUUCUGGCCAUAUCAAGAUCUUGGCACGCAGGUGCCAAGUUGGUGCCAAUGUUGGGAUUACUGCCCUGAGCCCCAGUGAAGUAGGCAGCCCUUCUCUCCAAGACAGGCAUUCACCUCUGUCAC